CCUGUUUAGGCAGGUCGGAAUGUGGCCGGCGGAGCCGGCUGAACCACCCA
This 50-nucleotide non-coding RNA is filed under the name Halorhabdus utahensis DSM 12940. Its description in RNAcentral is "eL15-Euryarchaeota ribosomal protein leader". It matches the Rfam family "eL15-Euryarchaeota ribosomal protein leader". The record is from RNAcentral. Lineage: Archaea; Methanobacteriati; Methanobacteriota; Halobacteria; Halobacteriales; Haloarculaceae.